RNAcentral lists this long non-coding RNA (358 nucleotides) under Sus scrofa (pig). RNAcentral describes it as "lncRNA (ENSSSCG00040010743.1)". Lineage: Eukaryota; Metazoa; Chordata; Mammalia; Artiodactyla; Suidae. The record is from RNAcentral.
AUGUGGUGGUGCUGGCGCUCAAGUUGCUCACAGACCCUGGGAGAGACUAAUUUGUGCAAACCACUGGCAGCUCUGGGCAGAAUGAAGUCGACAGACCUGAACCUGGAGAGCCUCGGACAAGUGAAAUGGCAGAGACUGGCUAUUGUGCCUUUGGAGGGGAUUACUUUGAAUGGUCUGGAAAAGCUGAGAGGACACCAGGUCUGAUCCCUGUCCCCAGCCUACACUGUGAUGUCAUGGUUGGUAUAUUCUUAGUUAUCUCUUUCUUCCCUGGGACUCAUAGCCUACUUUUGCUCCCUUUUAAGUUAAAAACUAAACCUUAAUUAUACAGAGAGAAUCACUAGAUGGGACAUGAUUCGCC